CGAUCGGUAGCCGGACUGAGAGGUUGACCGGCCACAUUGGGACUGAGACACGGCCCAGACUCCUACGGGAGGCAGCAGUGGGGAAUAUUGGGCAAUGGGCGCAAGCCUGACCCAGCAACGCCGCGUGAAGGAUGAAGGCUUUCGGGUUGUAAACUUCUUUUGUCAGGGAACAGUAGAAGAGGGUACCUGACGAAUAAGCUCCGGCUAACUAC
RNAcentral lists this ribosomal RNA (212 nucleotides) under uncultured bacterium. RNAcentral's name for it is "partial 16S ribosomal RNA". It matches the Rfam family "Bacterial small subunit ribosomal RNA", at positions 277 to 504 of the family's 1533-position model. The record is from RNAcentral.